RNAcentral lists this ribosomal RNA (253 nucleotides) under uncultured bacterium. RNAcentral's name for it is "partial 16S ribosomal RNA". It matches the Rfam family "Bacterial small subunit ribosomal RNA", at positions 524 to 776 of the family's 1533-position model. The record is from RNAcentral.
GACAGAGGAUGCAAGCGUUAUCCGGAAUGAUUGGGCGUAAAGCGUCUGUAGGUGGCUUUUUAAGUCUGCCGUCAAAUCCCAGGGCUUAACCCUGGACAGGCGGUGGAAACUACCAAGCUGGAGUACGGUAGGGGCAGAGGGAAUUUCCGGUGGAGCGGUGAAAUGCGUAGAUAUCGGGAAGAACACCCGUGGCGAAGGCGGCUCUCUGGGACGGUACUGACGCUGAGACGCGAAAGCGUGGGGAGCGAACAGG